CGUAGGGUGUCUCUGCCGGCGUCUCUUCCCAUCGCUUGCUCAUCAGCGACGAGUAUGGCUCCGAUUUCCUCGAAGGCGAUCGCCGCGGCGGCCAGCAGCGGAAGGCUGAGGGGGGCGGCGGGUGGGAGAGGCUUCGAAAACUGUCUUGGCUACUCUAGUAAAGGCUUCCCCCCUUCCUUGUGCUGAUUUCUCUUGGGCGGAACAAAAGUUCAGGGGAUUGAUUUUAGAAGUGGUCAAUCGUACAAUGAUGAUUUUGGUAGUAGGUUUGAUGAUCGAUGAGAGUGAAACAUCCAAAAGACAUAAAUUUAGUCAAUAGUGGAAAAUCGGUAAGAUGUGUCUUCUUUCUAUUUGGACUAAAGGAUUUGAUAAUGUUACUGAUGUAAGGUUGUUUCAUGAAUAACAAAGCCAUACAAUUGGCAUCAGAUAGCCACAUUUUUAAGUAAUCUAUGUGCAUUUUUUGCA
Long non-coding RNA from Musa acuminata AAA Group (dessert banana), 462 nucleotides. RefSeq lists it as uncharacterized. NCBI's taxonomy places the organism in Eukaryota, Viridiplantae, Streptophyta, Magnoliopsida, Zingiberales, Musaceae. The record is from RefSeq and is a predicted model, not a curated record. The transcript is spliced from 2 exons.